GAUGAACGCUGGCGGCGUGCCUAAUACAUGCAAGUCGAGCGAACAGACGAGGAGUUUGCUCCUCUGACGUUAGCGGCGGACGGGUGAGUAACACGUGGAUAACCUACAUAUAAGACUGGGAUAACGUCGGGAAACCGGAGCUAAUAUCGGAUCAUAUAUUGAACCGCAUGGUUCAAUAGAGAAAGACGGUUUUGCUGUGCCUUAUAGAUGGUUCCGGGCCGGAUUAGCUAGUUGGUACGGUAACGGCUUACCCAGGCGAGGAUGCGUAGCCGAACUGAGAGGGUGAUCGGGCACACUGGAACUGAGACACGGUCCAGACUCCUACGGGAGGCAGCAGUAGGGAAUCUUCGGCAAUGGGCGAAAGCCUGACGGAGCAACGCCGCGUGAGUGAUGAAGGUCUUCGGAUCGUAAAACUCUGUUAUUAGGGAAGAACAGAUGUGUAAGUAACUAUGCACGUCUUGACGGUACCUAAUGAAAAAGCCACGGCUAACUACGUG
Molecule: ribosomal RNA, 497 nt
Filed under: uncultured bacterium
Lineage: Bacteria
Description: partial 16S ribosomal RNA
Rfam family: Bacterial small subunit ribosomal RNA
Source: RNAcentral